RNAcentral lists this ribosomal RNA (497 nucleotides) under uncultured bacterium. RNAcentral's name for it is "partial 16S ribosomal RNA". It matches the Rfam family "Bacterial small subunit ribosomal RNA", at positions 28 to 507 of the family's 1533-position model. The record is from RNAcentral.
GAUGAACGCUGGCGGCGUGCCUAAUACAUGCAAGUCGAGCGAACAGACGAGGAGCUUGCUCCUCUGACGUUAGCGGCGGACGGGUGAGUAACACGUGGAUAACCUACCUAUAAGACUGGGAUAACUUCGGGAAACCGGAGCUAAUACCGGAUAAUAUAUUGAACCGCAUGGUUCAAUAGUGAAAGACGGUUUUGCUGUCACUUAUAGAUGGAUCCGCGCCGCAUUAGCUAGUUGGUAAGGUAACGGCUUACCAAGGCAACGAUGCGUAGCCGACCUGAGAGGGUGAUCGGCCACCCUGGAACUGAGACACGGUCCAGACUCCUACGGGAGGUACCAGUAGGGAAUCUUCCGCAAUGGGCGAAAGCCUGACGGAGCAACGCCGCGUGAGUGAUGAAGGUCUUCGGAUCGUAAAACUCUGUUAUUCGGGAAGAACAAAUGUGUAAGUAACUAUGCACGUCUUGCCGGUACCUAAUCAGAAAGCCACGGCUAACUACGUG